This 91-nucleotide non-coding RNA is filed under the name Leptothrix cholodnii. RNAcentral describes it as "SAH sequence". It matches the Rfam family "SAH (S-adenosyl-L-homocysteine) riboswitch aptamer". The record is from RNAcentral. RNAcentral also lists the same sequence under 1 other name. Lineage: Bacteria; Pseudomonadati; Pseudomonadota; Betaproteobacteria; Burkholderiales; Sphaerotilaceae.
UUCCCCGAGGAGCGUUGCGACGGCGUGCGAUCACGCUGCCAGGCUCGGGGCCACGCCACACAUGUGGCGCUGCCAACGACGCUCACCCCCG